RNAcentral lists this long non-coding RNA (2613 nucleotides) under Pelobates cultripes (western spadefoot toad). Lineage: Eukaryota; Metazoa; Chordata; Amphibia; Anura; Pelobatidae. The record is from RNAcentral.
CUAAACACUAUCGAACUUUGUAUUCUGAAAGUAAUCAGAUAUAAUUGUCAGAAAUAGAAAAUGUCGCAAAUGUUUAUUUGCCAAAAGUGACGUACCUACAGAUAGAGGUAGUCAAUGUACAGUAGGACAGAGAGCUUACAGGAAGAGUCCACGAACGUAUUUUGAAAACCAAUGCAAAUUACCCAACAAAACCAAAAAUGAAAAUUAGAGUAAAUUAUAUAUACAGAGAGUCAUUUACGCAAUUAAAUAUUGGGAAAAAAAACAUAGCAUGUAAAUCCUGAGCCUAAUACUCACAUAUAGAAAUUACCUUACAAUUCGUGUCAUAUGACAAAUUAAGAGUUAACAUAGACAGAGUUAUUCAAAAAUGAAAAUUAGAGUAAAUUAUAUAUACAGAAAGUCAUUUACGCAAUUAAAUAUUGGGAAAAAAAACAUAGCAUGUAAAUCCUGAGCUUAAUACUCACAUAUAUGAAUUACCUUACAAUUCGUGUCAUAUGAUAAAUUAGGAGUUAACAUAGACAGAGUUAUUCAAUAAACUGGGAAACCUAGAUAGAAUUAUUCUCUAAAGUGAAAAUUCGAAGGGAAUUUCAAAUGUAAAGCCAAAAUGCUUUCAGUUUGACAAUUUUGGCCGUAACGGGUUACUCCAAGCACCAAGACCACUUAAGUGAUUUGAAGUGGUCAUGGUGCCUAGAGUCUAAUUAAACCCUUUGCUGCAGGAGGUGUUACUGGCUAAUGUCAAUUCUGUGCAAAUUUCUACGUACAGAAUUGCUGACGCUCUCAGCCAAUGAAUGGCCGGUAGGAUCGGCAUCCGGAUUCUGCAGCUGCAGGUCACAGCUAAUGGGAGAGGACUCCUAGUGUCUGGAAAGAUCAGGUGGGAGCACAAACUGUUGCAAACCGUUGUUUUUAUUACCAGGAAACAGUACACUUGGCUGUAGUGGUUAAGGUACUUGGAGUAAUCCUUUAAAUUAAUAUUCACUUUGAUACUGACAUGGGAAAUGCAAAUAACAGGCCAAAAUGUUUGAAAUUGAAUCAUUUUCUGGUUAUUUUUUUUAAAUCUAUUUUAAUAUUAAUGGGAAAUCCCCUCUUCAUUUCCAAGAUAGUAAAAUAAUUUGCGUGUCUUUUAAGAUUCAAAUAAGAUUAUUCAUUCACAUGGUAUAUCUGCUUUUAUUUUAAAUAGUAAGACCUGUAUAAAUGAUCAUAUGAACCCUUUUUAAUGUGAAGGAUGGUCAAUUAAAGUGCUAGUCUUCAUAGCAGACAAAGAAAAUAUGCAUGAAACAGUUACUUUUAUCCUUUGUUUAGGAGCAUUCUAGAGAAGAUUUAAACAUAAUGGAGCUUGCUUUAAUGACUUACUAUGACAAAUACUUUGCUUGUCAAAAGCCCUGGAUAUAAUGCAGAACUAAGAAAGUUAAUUAAAAUGUCAGAUGUUUUUAAAGGUUUGUCUCACUGCUAGGAUUUUACUUCUAGCCAUGUUAUUAUAGGGUAUGAACUAAAAGGAUUAGAAAUAUUUUAACUAAUUUCAUAGUUUAAAUUAUUACUUUUUUUAUUGACAUAAAUAUAUACUUUAGGGUCUGUUACAUGUGCAGUUAUUUUGUCUGCCAAUCUGUUCUCAAGCAGAAAUAUUCUGAAUAUUUCGAUGCAUGUGAAAUUUAUUUACUCAACUUGGAUUUCUGACAAAUUAACAAGAGAAUUUCAAAUUGUCGGCCUGUAUAGCUAACUAAGGAACAUUUUGUUGCUAUUUCAAUCCAAAAUGUAAAAUUUCUAUAUCAAUUCUCAACAAUUUUAGAAUUGUACCUGGGAACUACUAAUAUUUUAAUGAAAACAGUUGAAAUGAAUGGUUUAUUUUAAGGUUUACAUUUCAUAAAUUGUUCAUUUCUGUGGUUGCACAUAUCAAGAAUUACAUUUUUAUGCAUUGUAAUAAUUUUGAGCCAUAGAUAAUCAAUGUUCUAAAUUAACAAUAAGAUCAUUUUAGAGUAUCAAAACACACUUGAUUUAUGGUCGUCUGCAUCUAAAAAUUGUCGUAGAGUUCUCAUAUCUUCAUGAAGUCUAUCUGGUUUGUAACUGUUUGCUUAUCAUAUGCCCAUGAUAAACCUCUCCAUUUCGCCUAAUGCAAUAAAAUAUUUUCAUACUUGCAUGUUUUUGUUUUUUUGCCAGAAACAAAAAUUCUUUAGGAUUAAAAAAAAAAUCAUCUAUAUAUAAGUAAAUAUAUACAUAUGCUUAUAAUAUAGGAGCGAUAUUGAUGCAUAUAUGUAAAAUAGUGGUUUUAUUUUUUUUAAAUCUUAACAAAAAUGCAGCAUCAUGCACAAGAAAAAAAUGGUAUUUUGCCUGCACUUAGAAAUCCGAGCAAUGCUUAACCCUUUUCGCAACGAGGGGUACCGUGUGAUAAAUUAAAAUGCCUUGCCAAUUUUUCAGCACAGACGGGUAAUAGAACACUCUGAAUGUCCAAUUUAAAUACGCAAAAUAGAACUCACUUAGAGUGCACUUUGGGUUAUAUACCACAGAACUGGUUCUCCUGCAGAGAUACUUUGUACAUAACAGAUGUAUUUAAUUUCCUUGUAUUUUGUAACUUACUUGUACACUGAAAAAAUACAGAAUAAAAAGCUCUUCUUUUUUUUUUUU